Molecule: transfer RNA, 63 nt
Filed under: Cypridopsis vidua
Lineage: Eukaryota; Metazoa; Arthropoda; Ostracoda; Podocopida; Cyprididae
Description: tRNA-Leu
Rfam family: tRNA
About the family: Transfer RNA (tRNA) molecules are approximately 80 nucleotides in length. Their secondary structure includes four short double-helical elements and three loops (D, anti-codon, and T loops).
Source: RNAcentral
UUUAAUGUGGCAGAAUAAUGCACUAAACUUAAAAUCUACAUAUAAGGCUUACCUUCAUUAAAA